This 507-nucleotide ribosomal RNA is filed under the name uncultured bacterium. RNAcentral's name for it is "bacterial SSU rRNA". It matches the Rfam family "Bacterial small subunit ribosomal RNA", at positions 791 to 1299 of the family's 1533-position model. The record is from RNAcentral.
UAGUCCACGCCGUAAACGAUGUCGACUUGGAGGUUGUUCCCUUGAGGAGUGGCUUCAGGAGCUAACGCGUUAAGUCGACCGCCUGAGGAGUACGACCGCAAGGUUAAAACUCAAAUGAAUUGACGGGGGCCCGCACAAGCGGUGGAGCAUGUGGUUUAAUUCGAUGCAACGCGAAGAACCUUACCUACUCUUGACAUCCAGAGAACUUAGCAGAGAUGCUUUGGUGCCUUCGGGAACUCUGAGACAGGUGCUGCAUGGCUGUCGUCAGCUCGUGUUGUGAAAUGUUGGGUUAAGUCCCGCAACGAGCGCAACCCUUAUCCUUUUUUGCCAGCGGUUCGGCCGGGAACUGAAGGAGACUGCCAGUGAUAAACUGGAGGAAGGUGGGGAUGACGUCAAGUCAUCAUGGCCCUUACGAGUAGGGCUACACACGUGCUACAAUGGCGCAUACAAAGAGAAGCGACCUCGCGAGAGCAAGCGGACCUCAUAAAGUGCGUCGUAGUCCGGAUC